Molecule: ribosomal RNA, 377 nt
Filed under: uncultured Planctomycetota bacterium
Lineage: Bacteria; Pseudomonadati; Planctomycetota
Description: bacterial SSU rRNA
Rfam family: Bacterial small subunit ribosomal RNA
Source: RNAcentral
CGAAAGCCUGACGGAGCGAUGCCGCGUGCGGGAUGAAGGCCUUCGGGUUGUAAACCGCUGUCGGAGGGGAGCAAAUUUGAGCGAUCCUCGGAGGAAGCACAGGCUAAAUUCGUGCCAGCAGCCGCGGUAAUACGAAUUGUGCAAACGUUAUUCGGAAUCACUGGGCUUAAAGGGUGCGUAGGCUGCUAUGAAGUUCUGGUGUGAAAUCCAACGGCUCAACCGUUGAAUUGCAUUGGAAACCACAUGGCUGGAGUAGGACAGAGGUGAGCGGAACAGAUGGUGGAGCGGUGAAAUGCGUUGAUAUCAUCUGGAACACCGGUGGCGAAAGCGGCUCACUGGGUCCUAACUGACGCUGAGGCCCGAAAGCCAGGGGAGCA